Molecule: ribosomal RNA, 249 nt
Filed under: uncultured Clostridium sp.
Lineage: Bacteria; Bacillati; Bacillota; Clostridia; Eubacteriales; Clostridiaceae
Description: partial 16S ribosomal RNA
Rfam family: Bacterial small subunit ribosomal RNA
Source: RNAcentral
CACGCUGUAAACGAUGAUUACUAGGUGUGGGGGGUCUGACCCCUUCCGUGCCGGAGUUAACACAAUAAGUAAUCCACCUGGGGAGUACGGCCGCAAGGUUGAAACUCAAAGGAAUUGACGGGGGCCCGCACAAGCAGUGGAGUAUGUGGUUUAAUUCGAAGCAACGCGAAGAACCUUACCAGGUCUUGACAUCCAACUAACGAAGUAGAGAUACAUUAGGUGCCCUUCGGGGAAAGUUGAGACAGGUGG